Molecule: ribosomal RNA, 500 nt
Filed under: uncultured bacterium
Lineage: Bacteria
Description: bacterial SSU rRNA
Rfam family: Bacterial small subunit ribosomal RNA
Source: RNAcentral
AUAAGUAAUCCACCUGGGAGUACGGCCGCAAGGUUGAAACUCAAAGGAAUUGACGGGGGCCCGCACAAGCAGUGGAGUAUGUGGUUUAAUUCGAAGCAACGCGAAGAACCUUACCAGGUCUUGACAUCGUGCGCAUAGCUUAGAGAUAAGUGAAGUCCUUCGGGACGCACAGACAGGUGGUGCAUGGUUGUCGUCAGCUCGUGUCGUGAGAUGUUGGGUUAAGUCCCGCAACGAGCGCAACCCUUGUAUUCAGUUGCUACGCAAGAGCACUCUGGAUAGACUGCCGUUGAUAAAACGGAGGAAGGUGGGGAUGACGUCAAAUCAUCAUGCCCCUUAUGACCUGGGCAACACACGUACUACAAUGGCGUAUAACAGAGGGAAGCAAGACAGCGAUGUGGAGCAAACCCCUAAAAUGCGUCUCAGUUCAGAUUGCAGGCUGCAACUCGCCUGCAUGAAGUCGGAAUUGCUAGUAAUCGCGGAUCAGCAUGCCGCGGUGAAUA